Molecule: ribosomal RNA, 518 nt
Filed under: uncultured bacterium
Lineage: Bacteria
Description: bacterial SSU rRNA
Rfam family: Bacterial small subunit ribosomal RNA
Source: RNAcentral
UUAUGGCUCAGAUUGAACGCUGGCGGCGUGCUUAACACAUGCAAGUCGAACGCGAAAGGGACUUCGGUCCUGAGUAAAGUGGCGCACGGGUGAGUAACGCGUGGAUAAUCUGCCCUUAUGAUCGGGAUAACAGUUGGAAACGGCUGCUAAUACCGGAUACGCUCAAAAUGAACUUUUUGAGGAAAGAUGGCCUCUGCUUGCAUGCUAUCACGUAAGGAUGAGUCCGCGUCCCAUUAGCUUGUUGGCGGGGUAACGGCCCACCAAGGCAACGAUGGGUAGCCGAUUUGAGAGGAUGAUCGGCCACACUGGAACUGAAACACGGUCCAGACUCCUACGGGAGGCAGCAGUGGGGAAUAUUGCGCAAUGGGCGAAAGCCUGACGCAGCGACGCCGCGUGAGGGAUGAAGGUUUUCGGAUCGUAAACCUCUGUCAGAAGGGAAGAAACUACGUUGUGCUAAUCAGCAGCGUACUGACGGUACCUUCAAAGGAAGCACCGGCUAACUCCGUGCCAGCCGCCGC